AGAGUUUGAUCCUGCUCAGGACGAACGCUGGCGGCGUGCUUAACACAUGCAAGUCGAGGGUAGCAAUACACUGGCGCAAGGGUGCGUAACGCGUAGAUUAUCUGCCCCAUACACUAACAUAACGCUUGGAAACGGGUGCUAAUAUUAGAUGAGGUGCUUCGGCAUCAAAGUUUCGACGGUAUGGGAUGAGUCUGCGUCUGAUUAGCUAGUUGGUAGUGUAAUGGACUACCAAGGCGACGAUCAGUAGCUGGUCUGAGAGGACGAUCAGCCACACUGGAACUGAGACACGGUCCAGACUCCUACGGGAGGCAGCAGUGAGGAAUUUUGCGCAAUGGACGAAAGUCUGACGCAGCGACGCCGCGUGUGGGAUGAAGGGGCUACGCCCUGUAAACCACUGUUAGAUGUGAAAAAAAGAUAGCUUUGCUGUCCGGGAUUGUAACAUCAAAGAAAGGACCGGCUAACUACGUGCCAGCAGCCGCGGUAAUACGUAGGGUCCGAGCGUUGUCCGGAAUUACUGGGUAUAAAGGGUGCGUAGGCGGGCUUUUACGUCAAGGGUUAAAGACUUCAGCUCAACUGAGGGAAUGCCUUUGAAACGGGAAGUCUUGAAUGUAAGAGAGGUAGGUAGAAUUCCUGGUGUAGCGGUGAAAUGCGUAGAUAUCAGGAGGAAUACCAGUGGCGAAGGCGGCCUACUGGCUUAUUAUUGACGCUGAGGCACGAAAGCGUGGGUAGCGAACAGGAUUAGAUACCCUGGUAGUCG
Molecule: ribosomal RNA, 757 nt
Filed under: uncultured bacterium
Lineage: Bacteria
Description: bacterial SSU rRNA
Rfam family: Bacterial small subunit ribosomal RNA
Source: RNAcentral